AGAUGAUGGUGAGGACAACUAAUGAGUAAAUAUUUAAACCUGUCCCAAUAUUGAUACAAUUUUUCUCCAGAUUUUUGGUUAAAGCUUAAAAUUUUAGCCCUCAACUU
Molecule: small nucleolar RNA, 107 nt
Organism: Solanum dulcamara
Lineage: Eukaryota; Viridiplantae; Streptophyta; Magnoliopsida; Solanales; Solanaceae
Source: RefSeq, a predicted model, not a curated record